RNAcentral lists this ribosomal RNA (472 nucleotides) under uncultured bacterium. RNAcentral describes it as "bacterial SSU rRNA". It matches the Rfam family "Bacterial small subunit ribosomal RNA", at positions 328 to 793 of the family's 1533-position model. The record is from RNAcentral.
GCUGAGCACUCCUACGGGAGGCAGCAGUGGGGAAUAUUGCACAAUGGGCGCAAGCCUGAUGCAGCCAUGCCGCGUGUAUGAAGAAGGCCUUCGGGUUGUAAAGUACUUUCAGCAGUGAGGAAGGUGGGUAUGUUAAUAGCAUAUUCAUUUGACGUUAGCUGCAGAAGAAGCACCGGCUAACUCCGUGCCAGCAGCCGCGGUAAUACGGAGGGUGCGAGCGUUAAUCGGAAUUACUGGGCGUAAAGCGCAUGCAGGUGGUUUGUUAAGUCAGAUGUGAAAGCCCGGGGCUCAACCUCGGAAUUGCAUUUGAAACUGGCAAACUAGAGUACUGUAGAGGGGGUAGAAUUUCAGGUGUAGCGGUGAAAUGCGUAGAGAUCUGAAGGAAUACCGGUGGCGAAGGCGGCCCCCUGGACAGAUACUGACACUCAGAUGCGAAAGCGUGGGGAGCAAACAGGAUUAGAUACCCUGGUAG